AGAGGACAAAAAUGGCAGCUGGUGGUAUAAAUAAAGGAAUCUGAGACGGUAAUGGCGAAAGGUGAGCUCAAGAAUGAAAGAGGCUCAAGGCAGCAGAGGGAUGGGAAAGUUUCUGAGGGUGGUUGCCCCUCUCUGCCAUAACUUUUGAUUUCUCCGAUCAUCUGUUCUGAGCCGAUGAUUUCACCAAGUCCCCUGGAGAAAGCAACAGCCCUUAUUGCAUCUCUGCCUGCAAACAAACAUAACCACCUCUCUUUCUCUCUCUAUAUCUACGUAUGUAUGUAUGUAUUUAUUGUGUGUAAAGGGUUUAACCCAUUUACAUAUCUUUUCAUUUUCUUUUCCAUUCCAUUCCUUUUUUCUUUUCUGUGCAGUCAAAACUCAGAAACACAGUUAAGUGGAGGCUGUGAUGAUAAGAUUUGAUUCUUGAGCGAAUCGGGGCUGUGUUGAUGUGCCCGUAUCUUGGCGGGGCAAAACAGAUGGCAUGAUGAUGCGAGGGAUUUGAUUUGAUGGAUUCAUUUGGGUUUAGGGUUUUGGGUUUUGAUAUCUCUUGAUCCCUCUUACAUCUAAUGCAACUGUUUUUGCAGUCAUGACGGUGCCACACUCUUUACCCUGAUUACAUACAGAUCUGAGCCUAAACCUUUCCCCCUACUGUCUUUAUUUUGAUUUAUCUAGACUGAAUGUGUUUUACUGAUGUGUUAGCUCCAUACAAGUAUUUUUUUAAAAAUUAUUUUUAGAAAAAUAGGAAGUAUGAAAUAAACUUAGCUUUUUAAUAAUUUUAUGAAUAUGUUGAAUGAGUUAAAAAUAUGGGAUGUUUUAAUGACUCAAAUAUUUGAUUUUUAUUUUUUAGACCAUAAGAUAGAUAAUUAAAAAUUACUCCAUAUUUAAUAUUUAAUUUAUUAUUAUUUUAAGUAAAUUUUGUUAUGUAGAAAUUAGUUUUUGAAUUUUUUAAUAAUUGGUCAAUAAUUAAUUUAAUGAAGGUUGUAGUAUUUUAUUUUGAUUUUGUAGAUUGAUAGAAUAUUAAAAAGGUUUAGUGUUUAUUUUUAAAAUUAUAUUAUUAACAGUAUAUUUUAUCAAAGAUUUGUCUAAAAUUAUUAUAUUAUAAUAUACUUGUUCCUUAAAGAUCUGUCUAAAAUUAUAUUAAUAUACUUUGUUCGUAAUAUGUUAAAAUAGAGAAAUACGCAUAUGAUGUUUUAUACAGAUAUUUAUUAAAUAUAUUAUUUUAAUUUUUAUUCAAAUUUUUUUAUUUUAUUUAGUUUUUUAAGAUUCUUUUAUAUAUAUUCAAAAUUUUUUAUUCAAUUUAUGAAGUAAGGACUAUUAAUAAAUAUCUUUUUAAAACAUCAAUAACAAUAAUAAAAAUUGUCCACAUACAUCUAGAUAGUACAUGUCAUAAAGCCUUUAUGAUAUAAUUGUGGAAUUAAAAUUGAAUACAUACUCCUAUUAUUAAUUAUUUGACGUUUUAAAAUUUUGCAUAAUUCUUAAGAAAGUUAAAACUUCUAUAAAAUUUUUACUAAAAUUAUUAUGUAUUACCAAAAAAUACUCUUUCAUAGAUAAAUAAUAAAUUAAAUUGUAGAUAAUAAAGAUGAAAAAUGUUAUUAAAGGAUAAAGAUAAUAUAGGAAUUAUAAGAGAAAGAGAGUUAUACCAUUAAGAUGUUAAAAAGAGAAAAAAUAGUUUGAAAAAUAUGAGAAAAUUAAAGAGAGUAUUAAAUGUUUAGGGGUAAUUUAAGAAGUAAUGUAAUCAAUAUAUUUUAGAAAUUUAUCAAAUUUGUUCUCUAAAACAUCAAUUAAAUAAGAAUGGAGAAAGUAGUAUAUAAGAUCUUUGUUAGAAUUAGCACACAUUAUUAAUAGAUAAAUAUGUUAGAUGAAAUUAUCUUUUUUUUAAUAAUGUGUUAUAAUCUUAAAUUUUAUUCUACUUGUCUUUAAAAUGAUGAGUAAAAGUAAAUAGAAAAAAUAAAUAAAAAAGUUUUAUAUUUAGUAAUCUUAAGUUUUAUAUUAGUUUAUUUUUUUUAGAUUUUUUUUUAUAUUUAAUAAUUUUUUUGAGGAUAGAGGUAGUAACUCAUAAUUGUGUGAUGUUAACCAAUUUAUCCGUCUCGGUGAGACACCAUUCCAAGGUGACACGAUGUAAAUUAUUUACUCUUUUCGUCUUUAAAAAGAUAAAUUAAGUAAUGAAAAAAUGUCUUUAAUAACACAAGUAAAUAAGUUAAUUAGACAAUUUUUUUUGCGAACUAAUUUAUCUUUUACCAUACAUUAUAUUUUAUUUAAUUAAUAAUGAAUCACUCACAUCACAUAAGUGAUUUACAUUAAAUAAAAAUUGUUAUUUUCAUAAUAAAUUUAUUUAUAACGAUGAUUUUUACUGUCAUUAUAUAUUUUCGAUUACACUUUUUAUAUAUUAAUUAUUAACAAUUUCUUCCGUUCCUUAAUAUAGAUUAUUUUAGACAUGUGCACAAGAAUUAAAAAAAUAAUUGAAAAGUAUUAAUUAUAUUAUCAAUUGUCUAUAAUAUCCUUCAUCUCAUAUUAUCUCAUAAAUAUGAAUCAAAAAAUUAGGUUGAAUAAUAAGGAAUAAUUUGGAAAAAAUAACAAUUAAUUUUUCUAGAUAACUACAGACGACAAAUAAUUAAUAAUAACAAAAAAAGUCUAAAACAACUUGCAUAUAAAAACGAAGGGAGUAUUUACGAAUGGAGAGGACAAAAUGGGAAGUUAGUGGUAGUAAGUGAAGGGAUUUGGCUGCCACUGCAAUUGGAUUAGCUCAAGAAUGAAAGAGGGUCGCAGAGAGAUGGGAAGUUUCUUAAGGGUGGUUGCCCCUCUCUGCCGGAAGAUGAUUCAUCCGAUCAUCUGAGCCCAUGAUUUCACCUGCUCCCUCAAACCAACAGCCCUUAAUCCAUCCAUCCAUCCAAACGAAGCAUUAUAUAUCACAUGUAUAUAUAUACACACACAUGGAUGAUGGGUUGUUGACUGAAUUACGAUUUGCAUCCUAAACCCUAAACCUUACAUAAUUUUGAUUUUAUUUUGCUGAUGAUGAUGAUGAUGAUGAUGAUGAUGUGUUGUUUUAUUAAUGAGAGGCUGUGAUGAUAAAUUGAUUCUUGAGCAAAUCGGGGCAUUGUUGAUAUGACCCGUAUCUUGGCGGGGCAAACUCAGAUGGCAUGUGAUUUAUCUCUCUAUCACAUGCAACUGUUGUUGCAGCCAUGGCGGUGCCAUACUCUUUGCCUUCCAGAUCUGAGCCUCACCCUUCUUUUUUUGCCCUUUUAACUUUAUACCAAUAUUACUCUAAUGUCAUAAAUUGGACCAAGGCAUAGGAAUACGUAACAAAAUAGAUUGCGAAUUGAAUAGGAAUAAAAUUAAAAAAUUGAUCCAUUAUAUAUCCAGUAAGUAUUACUAACCCCUAGGGUUCCCCCAUUUUUGGUUUUUUCUCAUUUUAUAGUAAUUAUCUUAGGAAUGGUUAGACGAAAUUACCCUUACCUUUCCCACAAUAAAAAUUAUGCCACACCAUGUAAACAGGUGAGAAAGAAGAGGGCAGAAAUGGAAAAUAUUGGUAGUAUAAAAAACAUAUCUUGCAGGGAUCUAACCGCAGGGUUUGCUCAUGAAUGAGGCUCAGUAAGAGAGAUGGGAGGUUUCUAAGGGUGGUUGCCCCUCUCUACUAAAAAAAUCUCCUUUCAGAAGCAUUUGAGUCCAUGAUUUCUUUCGCCUUAAUCAAAUCAACAGCCCUUAUUCCCCUCUUUAUCUCUCUCUCUGAGAUUAAGAUUUGGGAGAGCAUGCAUGCAUUCAAACAUACACAUAUAGAUAAAUAAAUAAUUAUUAUAUACCCAACUGGGUAACUCCACCUCCUCCUUUNNNNNNNNNNNNNNNNNNNNNNNNNNNNNNNNNNNNNNNNNNNNNNNNNNNNNNNNNNNNNNNNNNNNNNNNNNNNNNNNNNNNNNNNNNNNNNNNNNNNNNNNNNNNNNNNNNNNNNNNNNNNNNNNNNNNNNNNNNNNNNNNNNNNNNNNNNNNNNNNNNNNNNNNNNNNNNNNNNNNNNNNNNNNNNNNNNNNNNNNNNNNNNNNNNNNNNNNNUAUUAUUAUUAUUAUUAUUAUUAUUAUUAUUAUUAUUAUUAUUAUUGUUAUUAUGUUAUUUUGUUGUUAUUAUUAGUGGUGAUGGUGUGGUGGUGGUGGUGGUAGUAGUAGUGGUGGAACUGAAACCGAUCUAAUUACGGUACUAAUUAUGAGAGGCUGUGAUGAUAGUUUUUCUAAUCCGAGCAAACCCGAUCAGGCAUGGUGAAUCUGACCCGUAUCUUGGCUGGGCAUCACAGAGGGCAUGUGAUUGAUUAGAUUCAACAAUCGAUCCAUUUUUUCUCACAUGCAACUGGGGGUUGCAGCCAUGGCGGAUUCAUAUCCCAUGUCUGAUUUUUCACAGAUCUGAGCCUCACUCUCUCUCCUUCUAUUCAUCUUUCAAUUUUUUUUUUAAUUAUUGUGUAAAUAACUAAAUAUAUUAUUAAAAGCACUGGUAAUUUCUGGGUUUGUAGUCCAACCCUUUAUUUUACGAGUUUUAUAUCUUACUUUAUGGGAAUUGUUAAAUUAUAAAAAAAAAAAUUGUUAUUUUUAUAAUAAAAGUGUUAUUGUGAUGUAUAGCGACGUAAAAAUUGUGAAAAUCAUCUAUAAAUUUUAUAUUGAUAUUUUUGUUAUGAAUUUAAUAAUUUUCUAAUUUAUAAACGUGAAAGAAUGUUUUAUAUGUUAUGUUAAAUUAUCGAAUGGGUCGUAGGCAUAGGAAAAAUAUUCUUUAAAAUUUAAUUACAAUGAAAUGUUCAUUUUUCUAAGGAACUGAUAAAUGCAUACUACUACCGAAAAAAAGAAAGAAAUAAAAAGUUGCUAAUCUAAACAUGUCUAAAAAUCACAUUCUUCGGGAUGGAACUUACAUUGCCCAUGCCGUGAUCAAAACUGUUCUCUGUGACUGACCGACCUAAUCUUCAAGCAAAGGCCAAUUUCUGUAACAACAGUUCAAUAUUGUGAAAAAUGAACAAAGUAUCAGGUCCAUGCCUAAUUUGUGACCUCCGGUUUAGGAAUGACAAAGUAAACCGAACAGCUGGGUGACCGCUAAUAAGAUGAUGCCCAAAUCCCCUACAUUCCUUGGACCACCACUAGAUUUUUCAUCUUUGGGUGGAGGAGGUCUUGCAUCUGCGGAAGUGGGCGGGUCUGCGAUCUUGGCUACCGAAGGUAGCGGCGGAUCAACCACGUCUGCACUUUCCAGUGCUGGGGUGGGUGGUAAAGCAGGUGGCAUCGCCAUUGGAUCAAUUUGACGAGCCAGAUCCCCAGCAUGAAUUGGCUUUAUGGGAAGUACAUUAUGGGGAUUCUUAAGAUCAGCACAUGGAUUCCCUGCAUAACCAAGGGAUCAACUUUUUGAUAGUCACAACUAAACGUUAUGGAAAAAAAAUGUACAAAUUUUACGCCAUAAAAAAUGUACUGCUUGUUUUGUCUAGCAGGGUGUGGUGCGUUUUAACGGUCUAAAUGUACUUUAAACUUUUGUUCAUCUAUAAAUAAUUUAUUUUAAAUAUAUUUUAUUUAACUCACAAACGCUCCAAAAUACUUGAACAAAACGCUGCUGCUUUUAUAAAUUAAUUAAGUUCUCUUUUAAAUAAAUUGUUAUCAGACGAAUAAGAUUGCAAACGCCGGUGUACACAAACAAGCAGUAUAGCUAUAAAUGCUGUAAACGCUUAUAAUUAAACAAACUUACUCAUGUAUGCACUUGCAGUCGCUGGAAAUUCGGUCAUGACACCAUCAACAUGUAGUGAAACAUAAGUAGCAAGCUGCAGAUAAGGAUCUGAGAGGUAAUCAAAAUUGAAGAAGACAAAUUCAUUCCGAAUAGGUGUGACAUAUACGGAUAUAUUUUCAGCAUGCAUUUCAUCUACAACUUGUGUGACUCCCUUGGUAAAGAAGCCCGAGUUUUGUUGAACGAUUGACUCUCUAUCGACAGCAACAGCAUUUGCAUUUUUCUUGAUUUCUGCCACCACAUCCUUGGGGGCAUUGCUUAUUUCCUCUUUAAUCGACAACACUCUUUCGUAAUUUGGGAAAUUGCUGAAUUUUGAUAGGACCGAGCUAUCGUCCGACUGAAUCAUAACCUUUUGAGUGGAUUCCCCCCUGUCGAAGCUAGCGUUGGCCAAAGCAGUUGUGACGGCAUCUACUACACCAAGACCCUUUUUUGACGCUAGAUAUGCAGCAUUCUAGCAAAAACAAAGGUCUGAAAUUGUUACAAGUCUAUUUUCACAGGAUUCUUGAGCUUUGCUAAAGAGGGAAAUAAUCAGCUCACCUCUAUGUUAAUCAAAACUCCUCCGGUUUUGUUCGUCUUGGCAAGUUGUAAGAAGUCGGCCAGAGUCACAAACUUGCCCUGGUUCUUGAAUCUCGGGUUUCUCACCAAGGCAGAAUCCUUAUAAGGAACUUCAAUUAUAGCUGCAUUGGUAAAGUUUAGUCAGCUUAAGGAUAUAGUAUUAAACACGUGGAAUGUAAAAUUGAAAAAGGUUUAAUUUUCUGAAAGUUUACGCUUGAGGGAUUCAAUUUCGAUCCAAGUGAGAUCAAAUGAGAAAAUGCCAUCCUGUGGUUGAAUUUCAGGUGUGUUUGAAGAUCGGUCCAUAAAGUCAACCAGUGCAGUUGUUAUUGUGGAGAUAUCAACAUUGGACAUGCAGAAGGGGACUCCAUCUUUUGUCAUUUGGACAUUGCAGUCGAUUAGAUCCACCCCGUCCUGUAUGGCUUGCUGAUAGGCAAGGUCAGUGCAGGCAGGGUAGACUCCACUAGCUCCAUUGUGAGAUAUGAUCAAACCUAUUCAUGAAAAGGCAUACUUAAAGAUCAUUUCAUUUCACAAAUUAACCAACUAAUACACAUGAUGUUGAAUAGAUAUACUACAGCAAUUAAUAUAAUGCACCUUUCACAAUCUUAGAGGUAUUGUUCUGGCUCUGGGCAAAGCAUGCUGCACCAAGAAGAACACAUGAGGUUAUAAGUUAGUUUAGGCAGGCCGGUUGAGAAGAAGAUUGGCCAAAAGCAAAUGAAGAAAAUGGGUUCAUGUACCUGUGGCAAUUGACGCAGUGGAAGGGAAAUCUGAAAGCAUCCCAUCAACAGAAAACUGGGAGUUGCCAAUAAAUUCGAGGUACUCGUUAACUGGAUCAUAACUAUAAUUGUAACUUGUCCAAACAUCGUUUGCAAAUUUGUAUGUAUAUACUUCAAGACCUAGUUUGUGGGCAUCAGCUACGAGUGUAGUUGGGGAUUCACAAUAGAAGUCCUUGGCAAUCGGAACUAUGUAAUCUUUUGGGACAAGAAUACCCGAUACAAAUGGCUUGAUUGAGGUUAGAUUGUUGAGUAUUGAACCAUAUUUUUCCUUUCUCGUGGGUUCAACUUCGUCUUUGUUCAAGAACUUGAAAAUGAGCUUCGUACGGUUUUUGUCCACUUGGCCACUCAUAAACUCCAAGAAGUUAAUUUCUGGUGAUGAAAUGUGACUUGGUACCCAAAACUGUGCCGAAUCUUUUAUAUAUUUUGCCACAUUUAAAUUAUAUUGAUUGUAGAACAUAUCAUACUGCAUGAGGCACACAAGGAAUAUAAAGAUCCAAAAUUUAGGCAAAAUAUGGAGUACAAGGGAAAUUAAGUUGGUACCUCAAAAUUUAGCCACAUUCUUUUAACAUUAUUAAGUCCCGAAAGAUCAUCAGGAGUGAAUAUUGGUAACAUGCCAUCAAACACGCUUGGUCGGCUCAAUGUACUUGCUAUAUCUGUGGGAGAAGAACAAACCAAAUUAAGUACUAGCUAGUAGGUAGGUAGAUUUUGUUUGGUAAUUGAUUAGGACUUACAAUAUGUAUUGUUUUUGAGAUCAUCCAACGUAUAGUCCAUGGCGAACCAGCCACUAAGAUCCUUUCCAUUAACGUUGUAAGUCUUCUCUCCCUUGGGGUAGGCGAGGGCCGCUGUUGUUGAAUUGUCGAGGAGGAUUUGGCCUGCGCAAACUCCCAAGUUGUCCUUUGUAAGCUGAACAUUGCAGUACAUAAUGCUAUUCGGAAGACUUGUUUGUAAGGCAAAACUAUAUGCAAAUUCACUCGAAUCUGGAAAAAGCCCCGAGUAUCCACCGUUUGCUAUAACAUCUGGCGGACCACCUGCAUUUACAAAUGUGCUUUCAAAAUAUAGAAUCAAUUUUGGGCUUCUUAUUUGUUAACGUUACAUACCAUUUAAAGUUUUAAAUUUCUUGUUCAGGGUAGGGGGUGGUGGUUGUUUGGGGCCUUUUGCGGUUUUACGAUGAAGUGGAUGUGGGGCUUUCUGUGCUUGGAUUGAAUCCACCAACAACAACAAGAAGAAGAAAACCAAAUAUAUUUGCCGGAACAUUUUCUUCCACAUCUGUAUAUAUGUAUGUAUGUAUCCAUAAAAACAAAAACAAAGAUAGAGAUCAGGUGAGGUGAGGUGAGCCACUUUAGAGAAUGAUUGAACACCAAAUCUUUGUAUCCAUUUUCAAAAUUGAAUUAUUAUUUUUCUGUUAGAAAUUAUCUUACAGCUAGCAAAUAAUUUGUCAUGUAUCACCACCAUCUCCAGGUAAAAACAGUAAUAUCAUUAUGGUUAUUAUUAUUAAUGAAACUAUUGUUUCUUUCUAGGGUUCCUAAAUUGUCGAAAUAUUACUAUAUCAUAAACAAAAAAUGAACCCAAGUUCUUUAUUAAUUUGGGGUUAGAUUGCAACCAAAUCUCAAACCAUACCUACAUAUAUUUCACAUCUAAAAUUUUGGUUUUAAGAUUCAUAAGGAUCAUACCACCACCCAUGAUUUCAAAAUAGAUAUAACAUAACAUAAUAAGAAGAAUAUGGAAAGAAAUCAAUCAAAUAAACUUACUUGAUUAGUGUUGAUGAUCUUUUUUUAGUAGUUGAUUAAUGUUAAUUCAAAACAUUCCCUUAAUCUCUCAUUCCCUGUGAUUUUUGAAUAAAUAUAAACACGAAAAGGAUAUGCAAAAUAUGUUUGAUGGAAGGAUGAGGGUGGGGUGAGACAAGGAGAUUGAGACAGAGUUUUUUUUUCCGGUAAAUAAAAGAUUUGAGAGAAUGUUGUUAAGGUUUUAGUAGUAUUAAUUAGCUCCCACACAUUUCUCGCAUUAAUUGUUGGUCAUUAAUUCAUUUAACUCGGAAUAAUAUUGACCGCAUAGCUCUGUAUCAGUGGAUGCAUACAUACAUAUAUAUUACUGGAUUUGGCGGGAGACGGGAAUCUCUAACUAGGUCUAGUACGUAUAUAUAUAUAUAUAUAUAUAUAUAGUUCGUAACGGAAUGACUGCUACUAUGUUUGCAAUUCACUUAAAAAAAUUCAAUUCGAAUAAUUUAUUUUACACACACUUUAAGAAUUACUCCCUUCCGUUUCCAAAAUUAAAUGCUCGAUUUUAACUUUCUAAAAUCAAAUUAACUAUUUUUAGGAUUUAUAAUUAAGCAUAUACAAAUAUAUUUUUUAAAUUAUAUGAAUUGGGUUUGUAGUAAAUUGUAUACACUUUAAUUUGAUUAUAAAAAAAAUUUUAUCUAUAUUUUAGCAAAAAUGAUACAGAUGUCAGUUUUUAAAAUGGUCAAAUUUACACCCAAAAAAAGAGAGAGUUAAAACUAAGUAUUUAAUUUAAGACGGAGGAGUUUUAAAUAAUAAAAUCUAACGAAAUUUGAAAUUACCAUUUUCUAGCUGAUCGUGACAAAAUUUUUAGUAUAGAAGAAUUAAAACUUAUUUAAAAAUUUACAUUAUCAAAAUAAAAAGAUAUUUGUAAACCAAAAUUAGGUGUCAAAUUAUUUGUUUAAAAAUAAUUAUAUCUCAAAUACAAUAUUCUAGAGUGAUCUAAGAUUCACACUACAAUGUAAGAUCCUUGAUCCUCCACGCGGGCCACGCCUUGUAGUUUGUACUACCUUAUCAGUAAAAGAACUUGGCCUACAAGUUAUACCGACUUACAUCUCACCCUACAAAUUAAGCCCUCAAAUCUCUCUAUCACACACCAAAACACAUCGUGAAAAAUGGCUAAGAAAGAUAUGGAAGUAGUAAAGGGAAUAGAGCUAGGAAGGUAUAUGGGUAGGUGGUACGAAAUAGCUUCAUUCCCUUCAAGAAAUCAGCCCAAAAAUGGUAUAAACACAAGGGCUACUUACACUUUGAAAGAUGAUGGUACUACUGUUAAUGUUCUGAACGAGACUUGGAGUGAUGGAAAAAGAGGUUUUAUUGAAGGAACUGCUUAUAAGGCUGACCCUCGUAGUGAUGAGGCCAAACUCAAGGUCAAAUUCUAUGUUCCUCCCUUCCUCCCCAUCAUUCCUGUUCUUGGGGAUUACUGGGUUUUGUACCUUGAUGAUGAU
RNAcentral lists this long non-coding RNA (10274 nucleotides) under Panax ginseng (ginseng). RNAcentral's name for it is "long non-coding RNA (PGIN_LNC004245)". Lineage: Eukaryota; Viridiplantae; Streptophyta; Magnoliopsida; Apiales; Araliaceae. The record is from RNAcentral.